This is a non-coding RNA of Streptomyces sp. CB01580, 121 nucleotides long. The record is from Rfam. Lineage: Bacteria; Bacillati; Actinomycetota; Actinomycetes; Kitasatosporales; Streptomycetaceae.
GAAGGUUUUGUGGCCCUUCGGAGCCGCCCUGCGGGGGGAGGCUUCAAACCGCCUCAUGCUGCGUUAGCUGAAGACUGUCGUGGUGAGCGAUGAGGAAAAGGCGUCGUAAGAGGCGUCAGGU